UGUUGCUCUUUUUGUCUGCAGUGGAGAGGCUUGGGUAAACGUCCACAGCACCUGUGGUUCAGGCAGAGGUACAGUUGGUCAUUUCCUUCCCCUCUGGUCCUGAAGCAACAGCCCAGGAGGCUGAGUCAGGAGUGACUGCCAAGCAGAUGCAAGAGCUGAUCUGUCUGCUGCUCCCACCUGUCUGCUCUCAGCUUUGCAGGCAUCUUUCCACGGGGCCCUGGAAUGUUGCUGGUGAACGGAAGAGAUGAACAGGAGGAGGGAAUAGCUGUUCCACGAUUACUCUCUGAGAAAGGUCUCCAUACUCCCCUCAGCGGGGCGGCCCACACAGAUUUUUCAAAGCAACCCCAUCUGAUCUGAGACACAUCUGGAACCGCUUCCCCAGCCCUUGACUGCGAGCCUCCUCCAACAGCGAUCAGAGGCUGGAUAGGAGCAGGGAGCAAUUCGGCUGGCCCAGCCUCCAAGGCUCCCUUACACCGGCCAGCGGCCAGCGCCACUGCUUUAGUCCAAGGCUCUUGGGCAGCCAGAAGCACUGCAAAGGCGGGGCAGCACUGAGCACCUUGGUGGGAGAGAGCUGGGGAUAGUGAGCCGGGCCUGGAGGUGAAGACCAAGACGCUUCCUAAUGAGGCCGCCAUAGAAGGAGGCCUCAGUCACCAGAGUGCGGAGUCCAUUCCUCCACAGCUGCCCCUCGCUUAUGGGAAUGAAUGCACUCUGUCAUGAAACUCGCAGGGCUCUGUCAUGUUUCUGUCCCCAGAGCACAGAGCAAAGCCCCGUGAAUGAAUGGAUGACUGCGCUCACAGAUGCAUGAGCCCAGCAUGAGCCUCAGGGACUGCUGGGGUGGACUCCGAGAGGGCAGCAGGGGACAGGCAAAGGCACAGAGGGCACCCUGCUGCUGUGCAGGACUUGGGCCAGCGUGACCCUGGGCAGCGCCCCUCCUCUGUCAUCACAGGUGGACCCUGCUCCGAGGACGGUGACAUCCGCCACAGGAAAUUUCUUUGUAACCUGAUUCGCCUCACUUUCCUUUCACCUGGUCCUGCCGCGCCGAGGCAUCACUGGUAACAGGUGGCCGAGGCAGCCUGGGCCGGGUGGGAGACACAGCUGGUGACAUUAGCAGACGUGGGCCACCUGAGCUAAGGAGCCAGGGACACGGGGCAGCGCCUCCUAGACGCGUCCUCCCAGGGGUGGGGGUGCUCUCUUCACCUGGCUUCCAGACCUGGCUCUGUAGUCACCCCCAGCUUCACCCCCAGCUUCACCCCCACGCCACGCACUGAGCUCCCACACAGGCCUCCCAGAGCCUCAGAGCCCCAUCUGCCCUCCAGAUAAAAAGCUGCGAAUCAGUCACUCAGCUGGUGGCACACGCCUGUAAUCCCAGCACUCCUAGCAGGCUGAGACAGGAGAGGACGACAAGUUUGAGCCCAGCCUGGACAACUUUAGCAAGACCCUCUCUCAAAAAGUAAUUUUAAAAAGGGGCCUGGGGGAGUAGUGCAGUGCGAAGGCCCUGGUUCAAUCCCCACCACUGCAAAAAAACAAACAAAAGCUCUGGUCGGGCAUGCGGUGGACACACGCCUUGAAUUCUUCCCAAAGCCAUCACUUGGUGUGUUGGUGAUGCCAGCCCUGUCUGGAUUCCACCUUCUAACCCUCCCUCUGUCCUGCUAGAACAGUGCCAGAGAAUUUGCCAAACCUGUGGCUUCUGCGUCUACCUUCGGUGCCUGAGCCUGGAGCCACCCCUCCCCGCUGCCCCCUGCCCCCUGCACCCCACUCCCUGCCUCAGGGGGAGCCCCUCAUAGCUCUGCCACCAGCCAUCCAGAUGCCACCUGCACCCUCUCCCCCCCCCCCAGCAGAUGGCGCUGCUGGCUGAGAGCGGCUCACAGGGCCCUGCUGGGGACAUCCCACUCAGGCAGGCAGGGACCAAGACAGAACUUCCUGGCCACUUGCCACAGCCCCCCACUGAUCUUUGCAGGUUCUUUGGGGUGCCCACCUUGACUCCGGCCAGGCCUGUGACACCCACCGGAACCUCCUCCGAGGAGCCGGUUCCAGCAGGUUAUCGCCUCCCUCUGCUCUGUUCCUGUGCCCCCCCAUCCUCUGGUCCCAUCCGGCAGCACCCAAAUAUUCUCCGAGGUCGCUUUGCUCUUGGCAGCCAGCGCAGCCCACAGUGUCCCCAUCUCACUUCUUCCCCUGUCCCCUCAUUCAGGUCACAAAUGACUCGCUGAUGGUUAGGUACCACUCGUUUUUUGGUUUUGUUUUUGUAUUUUUGUGGCACUGGGGACUGAACCCAGGGCUUCCUAAGUGAACUACAUCCCAGCCCCUUUUUUAUUUUUUAUUUUGAGACAGGGUCUCACAAAAUUACCCAGACUGGUCUCAAACUUGCAACCCUCCUGUCUCAGCCUCCUAGACUGCUGGUCUGACGGAAGUGAGCUGUCUUCUGUCUGACCUGAUGUCUCUGGCUGGCUAUUGGUGACAAGGCCUCAUCUCCCAAAGUGAGAGGUUUCCUCAUAGAGGCCACCCUGCCCAGGCGGACACUGAGGAUCAAACUCCAGGCCUCCAUCCCUUCCUUCUCUUGUGGCGUCUGACAGGCCUGCUCCUCAGGCAGCUGCCUCUGGGCGCCUGUAGAAAGCCCCGCUGCUGUGCUAGGUGUUUCCCACACCUGUAAUCCCAGCACUGGGAAUGCUGAGAAUGGAAGAUUGCAAAGUCAACCCCAAUACCAGCAAUUGAGUGACUUAGUGAAAUCCUGUCUUGAAAUAGAAAAUAAAAGGGCUGGGGGUGUAGCUCAGGGCAAAGACCCUGGGUUCAGCACCCAAUA
Cavia porcellus (domestic guinea pig) is the source of this 2797-nucleotide long non-coding RNA. RefSeq lists it as uncharacterized. NCBI's taxonomy places the organism in Eukaryota, Metazoa, Chordata, Mammalia, Rodentia, Caviidae. The record is from RefSeq and is a predicted model, not a curated record. The transcript has 2 exons.